This 865-nucleotide ribosomal RNA is filed under the name Cladosporium perangustum. Its description in RNAcentral is "eukaryotic LSU rRNA". It matches the Rfam family "Eukaryotic large subunit ribosomal RNA", at positions 1 to 910 of the family's 3401-position model. Lineage: Eukaryota; Fungi; Ascomycota; Dothideomycetes; Cladosporiales; Cladosporiaceae. The record is from RNAcentral.
UUUCCAACCCCCAAUUUUCCGCAUAGCGGAGAAAAGAAACCAACAGGGAUGGCUCUAGUAACGGCGAGUGAAGCAGCAAUAGCUCAAAUUUGAAAUCUGGCGUCUUCGACGUCCGAGUUGUAAUUUGUAGAGGAUGCUUCUGAGUAACCACCGACCCUAAGUUCCUUGGAACAGGACGUCAUAGAGGGUGAGAAUCCCGUAUGCGGUCGGAAAGGUGCUCUACACGUAGCUCCUUCGACGAGUCGAGUUGUUUGGGAAUGCAGCUCUAAAUGGGAGGUAAAUUUCUUCUAAAGCUAAAUAUUGGCCAGAGACCGAUAGCGCACAAGUAGAGUGAUCGAAAGAUGAAAAGCACUUUGGAAAGAGAGUUAAAAAGCACGUGAAAUUGUUAAAAGGGAAGGGAUUGCAACCAGACUUGCUCGCGGUGUUCCGCCGGUCUUCUGACCGGUCUACUCGCCGCGUUGCAGGCCAGCAUCGUCUGGUGCCGCUGGAUAAGACUUGAGGAAUGUAGCUCCCUCGGGAGUGUUAUAGCCUCUUGUGAUGCAGCGAGCGCCGGGCGAGGUCCGCGCUUCGGCUAGGAUGCUGGCGUAAUGGUCGUAAUCCGCCCGUCUUGAAACACGGACCAAGGAGUCUAACAUCUAUGCGAGUGUUCGGGUGUCAAACCCCUACGCGUAAUGAAAGUGAACGGAGGUGAGAACCGCAAGGUGCAUCAUCGACCGAUCCUGAUGUCUUCGGAUGGAUUUGAGUAAGAGCAUAGCUGUUGGGACCCGAAAGAUGGUGAACUAUGCCUGAAUAGGGUGAAGCCAGAGGAAACUCUGGUGGAGGCUCGCAGCGGUUCUGACGUGCCAAAUCGAAUCGUUCCAAAAAA